UACGUAGGUGGCAAACGUUGCUCGGAAUUAUUGGGCGUAAAGCGCACGUAGGCGGUUUCGUUAAGUCGGAUGUGAAAGCCCUCGGCUCAACUGAGGAAGUGCACCCGAAACUGGCGAGCUUGAGUACGGAAAGAGGAUCGCGGAAUUCCCGGUGUAGAGGUGAAAUUCGUAGAUAUGGGAAGAACACCGGUGGCGAAGGCGGCGAUCUGGGUAGAUACUGACGCUGAGGUGCGAAAGCGUGGGGAGCAACAGG
RNAcentral lists this ribosomal RNA (253 nucleotides) under uncultured bacterium. RNAcentral describes it as "partial 16S ribosomal RNA". It matches the Rfam family "Bacterial small subunit ribosomal RNA", at positions 524 to 775 of the family's 1533-position model. The record is from RNAcentral.